CCACGGGGGGCAGCAGUGGGGAAUAUUGGGCAAUGGGCGAAAGCCUGAUCCAGCCAUGCCGCGUGUGUGAAGAAGGCCUUCGGGUUGUAAAGCACUUUCAGUGGGGAAGAAAGCCUUGGGGCUAAUACCCUCGAGGAAGGACAUCACCCACAGAAGAAGCACCGGCUAACUCCGUGCCAGCAGCCGCGGUAAUACGGAGGGUGCGAGCGUUAAUCGGAAUUACUGGGCGUAAAGCGCGCGUAGGCGGUCUGAUAAGCCGGUUGUGAAAGCCCCGGGCUCAACCUGGGAACGGCAUCCGGAACUGUCAGGCUAGAGUGCAGGAGAGGAAGGUAGAAUUCCCGGUGUAGCGGUGAAAUGCGUAGAGAUCGGGAGGAAUACCAGUGGCGAAGGCGGCCUUCUGGACUGACACUGACGCUGAGGUGCGAAAGCGUGGGUAGCAAACAGGAUUAGAUACCCGUGUAGUC
Molecule: ribosomal RNA, 464 nt
Filed under: Vreelandella stevensii
Lineage: Bacteria; Pseudomonadati; Pseudomonadota; Gammaproteobacteria; Oceanospirillales; Halomonadaceae
Description: partial 16S ribosomal RNA
Rfam family: Bacterial small subunit ribosomal RNA
Source: RNAcentral